Molecule: ribosomal RNA, 504 nt
Filed under: uncultured bacterium
Lineage: Bacteria
Description: bacterial SSU rRNA
Rfam family: Bacterial small subunit ribosomal RNA
Source: RNAcentral
GACGAACGCUGGCGGCGUGGAUUAGGCAUGCAAGUCGAACAGUAUCAUCCUUUCGGGGGUGAGAGAGUGGCGAACUGGUGAGUAACACGUAGGUUAUCUACCCUCAAGACGGGGACAACCCAGGGAAACUUGGGCUAAUACCGGAUGUGAGCAACUUUUAGUUGUUUGAAAGGUGGCGUAAGCUGUCGCUUGGGGAUGAGCCUGCGUCCUAUUAGUUAGUUGGUGAGGUAACGGCUCACCUAGGCAAUGAUAGGUAGGCGGCCUUAACGGGGUGGUCGCCCACACUGGGAUUGAGAUACGGCCCAGACUCCUACGGGAGGCAGCAGUCGAGAAUAGUCUACAAUGGUCGGAAGACUGAUAGUGCGACGCCGCGUGAACGAUGAAUCCCUUCGGGGUGUAAAGUUCUUUUAUAUGUGAGCAGUGCUUCUUAUAUUAACAGUAUGGGGAGAGAGAUAUUAGCAUAUGAAUAAGCAACGGCUAACUCCGUGCCAGCAGCCGGGUAAA